CUUUAGUCCAACAGAAAGCAGCUUCAGUCCUGAAUCCUGCAGGUUGUUGUUACUCAGGUCCAGCUCUCUCAGAUGGGAGGGGUUGGAGCUCAGAGCUGAGA
Molecule: long non-coding RNA, 101 nt
Organism: Dicentrarchus labrax (European seabass)
Lineage: Eukaryota; Metazoa; Chordata; Actinopteri; Moronidae
Exons: 2
Source: RefSeq, a predicted model, not a curated record